This 27-nucleotide non-coding RNA is filed under the name Rattus norvegicus (Norway rat). The record is from RNAcentral. Lineage: Eukaryota; Metazoa; Chordata; Mammalia; Rodentia; Muridae.
UGUGCAGGCUUCCCUUCAGAUCUCCAC